CCCUCCUUUUCUUUUCUCACCCUAAUCCCAGCCACACAUGUGGCUUUUCUGCACCAAGUGACAGCUUUAGCAACCUUCCAGAUUAAUGGUCAAAUGACCAUUUUGCCCCUAUCUUUGUUCAUUUACAUCUCAUUCGUUAUAACUACGUUUAGCAAAUGGUUUUCACCUACGCGCUUGUGGGAUCAAGCUCUAUCCAAAUAUGCUAAGAAAUACAACAAAUCAUAUAAGGAUAGAAUACGUUCUUGUAUAAUUAUGUUUAGCCAACUUGGGGCAUUUUCAUCUUUUCCACUUGUUGAACAAAUAUACGCCGUAAAUAUAAAUGUAUCAUAACUUCAAAUAUGACUACCAAAUAUUGAAUAAUAAAAUCCAAGAACAAAAUUUCACAUUUCCCCCCAUUUAAAUUUCAUAAUCGUCAAUUAAUUUGAAUUUCGUAACUAAAUCACAUAUUUAAAAAGGGUUGUGAUUUUCACACACCCUUAAGUACUUUUCCCACACCUCUUCCUAUUUUUUAAUAGUUAAUUGGUAUCCUAUUAUUUAAUAUUCCAUAUAUACCCUUCCUACUUUUUGAUGGUAAUUAAUGAAAGAUUAAAUAGGGAGGGGUAUAUAUGGAAGAUUAAAUAGUAGGAUACCAAUUAAGUACUAAAAAAUAGGGGUGUGGGAAAAGUAGUUAAGAGUGUGUGAAAAUCACAACGCAUUUAAAAAUAAUCAGGGUAUUACACAUGAAAACCUAAAACUUAAAACUAAACAAUAUAAACUUUCAUAUGAAACCAAAUGAAUGCCUUCAUCAUUGAUUUUCACCCACGACCUGCCUACAGCCUGCACCUUCACUUAAUAGAUAUUUUCUUCUAUUUUUAGAUGAGCCCCACCCAACUCAAUGACUGUCUUGUCGUCGUCAUCCGGACCUACUCUUGACUUAUCCCCAACCCUAUCUUCCUUAAUAAUUCAUGGUUGAGGGAAGCAAAAGUUAGAUCAUCCUCCCUAUCUGGCAAUGCAAACCCUAAACCCUUUACAUCCUCAUUCGACAGCACGUUUGGAUCAUCCCCGAACAUCUUAUUGAUCAUUGACCAACUUACAUCCUUCUCUUCCUGAUCACAUCCACAAUUCUCUACUGUUCGUCUCUCCUAAUAGAAGCAAACCUCAAACAGCUUUUCAUAAUUGAGAAAAGUUGGCAACUUUUCCCGUUCACCACUAGAACUCGCUUAAGUGGCAGACAAACAUCCACAUCUAUUAACACUCGAAUAGCCAUUGCAUUAAGGGAAUUAAUAGAUGCAUCAUCAUCAAAUCCAAUCUUCACCCCAGCUUACUAUUUCUGCGUCUUUUUCCCUCUUGAACGCGCGAACUCUCAGCCCCCUUUCUCUUUGAAUGAAAGAUGCCCGCUGAAAAAAAUUCAAAGUUUUUUCGUUCCACUGGGUCACACCAACCCUAUUCUAUCAUGAGCUCAAGAAAUCAGGAUUGUCUGAUUGUCAUCCGUACACAAGGUAUGUUUCUAAGGUUUGCACCUUAGAAACGCCCAUGGCCACAAAGCAGGCCAUAAUGUGCCCAAAUUUUCAUUAAUUUCUCCUUUGACUUUUUCACGGGAAAUUGUUUAAGUUUAAAAAAAUAUUUUUAAUAUUAGGAUUUAGGACUGAAUAAAUCAACAUUUAUAAUUUUAAAGCUAUCAAUGAAGGGAAGUAAUAGUAAGUAUUACUGAUCUUAAUUGGAAAAAAAAAUAUUUUUAUUGUCCUUUGGUUUAAUAGGAGAAUUGUUUUUAUUGACAUUUAUUAGAACUAUAAUGACCUUUGAUCAUUAAUAUUAAUUCUUUAAUCUAUUUAUUUUAACCUUUCAAAGAGAGAGAGAGGUUGCGAUCCAUCAUUAGUCCUAGACCUGUAAAUGGGUCGGGUUUAUCUGGUUUGAGUCGGGUUCAAUCCAACCCGUUAUGCUAACAUGUCUCCUAAACUUGACCCGUUAAGCUAACGGGUUACCCAAACCCAACCCGUUAAUCCAAUAGGUCACCCAUUUCACUCGUUAACACCUGUUAACAAAUAUUUUUUUUUGGUCGGUGCUGCAAUUGACUGUUAGUGGCUUUGCUGACUAGCUGGGAGGUCGAGGUCGAGGAGGAAGCUGCACACGAACAAGUGUCAUGUUACGCCCAUGUGCUCCCACCAUAUCAUCUCACAUCUCUUUUCAGGCAACCUUUACCUCAUCUUUUACCCUGCUCGA
Molecule: long non-coding RNA, 2199 nt
Filed under: Malus domestica (apple)
Lineage: Eukaryota; Viridiplantae; Streptophyta; Magnoliopsida; Rosales; Rosaceae
Description: long non-coding RNA (MDOM_LNC005976)
Source: RNAcentral